RNAcentral lists this transfer RNA (76 nucleotides) under bacterium (Candidatus Howlettbacteria) CG_4_10_14_3_um_filter_37_10. RNAcentral describes it as "tRNA-Arg". It matches the Rfam family "tRNA". From Rfam's summary of the family: Transfer RNA (tRNA) molecules are approximately 80 nucleotides in length. Their secondary structure includes four short double-helical elements and three loops (D, anti-codon, and T loops). Further hydrogen bonds mediate the characteristic L-shaped molecular structure. tRNAs have two regions of fundamental functional importance: the anti-codon, which is responsible for specific mRNA codon recognition, and the 3' end, to which the tRNAs corresponding amino acid is attached (by aminoacyl-tRNA synthetases). tRNAs cope with the degeneracy of the genetic code in two manners: having more than one tRNA (with a specific anti-codon) for a particular amino acid; and 'wobble' base-pairing, i.e. permitting non-standard base-pairing at the 3rd anti-codon position. The record is from RNAcentral. RNAcentral also lists the same sequence under 1 other name.
GCGCCCGUAGCUCAGGGGAUAGAGCGGCUGCCUUCUAAGCAGUAGGUCGGAGGUUCGAAUCCUCCCGGGCGUACCA